Molecule: ribosomal RNA, 499 nt
Filed under: uncultured bacterium
Lineage: Bacteria
Description: partial 16S ribosomal RNA
Rfam family: Bacterial small subunit ribosomal RNA
Source: RNAcentral
GACGAACGCUGGCGGCGUGCCUAAUACAUGCAAGUCGAGCGAAGUUUUUCUGGUGCUUGCACCGGAAAAACUUAGCGGCGAACGGGUGAGUAACACGUAAAGAACCUGCCUCAUAGACUGGGACCACUAUUGGAAACGAUAGCUAAUACCGGAUAACAGCAUUAACUGCAUGGUUGAUGGUUAAAAGUUGGUUUUGCUAACACUAUGAGAUGGCUUUGCGGUGCAUUAGCUAGUUGGUGGGGUAAAGGCCUACCAAGGCGACGAUGCAUAGCCGACCUGAGAGGGUGACCGGCCACACUGGGACUGAGACACGGCCCAGACUCCUACGGGAGGCAGCAGUAGGGAAUCUUGCGCAAAGGGCGAAAGCCUGACGGAGCAACGCCGCGUGAGUGAAGAAGGAUUUCGGUUCGUAAAGCUCUGUUGUUAGGGAAGAAUGCUUGUGUAGUAACUAUACACAGUAGAGACGGUACCUAACCAGAAAGCCACGGCUAACUACGUG